UUAAAUAAUUAUGGAUUUGUCGAACGACGACGUGUUUCUUCAUGGAAAUUUCGAUAUCUUUUAUGCACGAUUCAACAACGAUAUAAUUUCUACACAUUUCAGUGGGAAAUAAUGAACCUGAUUAUUUCUCUCGUGUUUCACAAGAUAUCCUAGGUCCCACGUCACUCGAGGUGAAUUAUCAACACAUCCAAAGAUCGCCUACGGACUGCUUAUGUAUCAAACGAAAGGAGACCAAGUUUUCUCGAACACGGAGACCCUGAGACCAUCGACGCGGAGUUGACGGAAAACACGAGGUUCCCGAUUCGACCUUCGAUUGGCCGCGCGUGCUCGAAGGGCCUGGCGAGGCGAGGAAAGCCCGCAACAGUCCACUCAGAUCUUCGUGGGCUAGGAGUAGGGGAAAAUGGAAAGCUGAAUGGAUCGAACAGACGAAGGAACGAAUAACAGAAAGAAAGCCUCGAUACAGCCCUACCACAACUCGCGACGGCUUCCUACGAUCGAUCCAACGCACCGCUGGAUAUCGGCAAUCUUAUCACAAGAAUUUUCGUCCUGGGCUCAUCCGCUGGAACGUUUUCGUUCAUGUCACAUAUAGACUACUUUGAUUCUACGAGUUACGUAAUGUUACUGAGCUUGAAGAUCUGACAGUCAUUGUAUAAGAGGCCAAAUGGAUUUGGUAAUCUUCUUUUGUUAUAAAUGGAUUACAUGGGUCUAUGAUAAAUAUUGAAUGUUAUUACUGGAUUAAGAGGUGACUGAAGUGGUAUAAAGAUUGGGAAUAUACUUUUUCUGUUACAUUGGAUGGAAAAUAUAAGAUUGAAGGUAAUAAAUAACAUCCCAAAUAUUCCGGGCUACUAGAGUUCACGUAUUAAUGGAACUACGAGACAAAAAUAGUUACAACGGAGUCCACGCAUUGAUUGAACUCCAAAAAAGAAGACAAUUCUGAUAACCAAAAGGAGAACACAAUAAAAGGAACUUAAGAAGAAACAAUAACGCUCAAAGUGGAUGACGUGUAAUAACCGAAAAUUAGGACUAUCAAAUUAUACACGAAUCUGAUGAAGAAUCUUCGAUCGCCAUAAAACAUUCCUUCGUAUUUAAAAGAUCAAACAACUCGAGCCAGCAAAAACACUUGGCCACUUCAAGAACGAGUCGCGUUCUAUGCAUCAUCCAACGUCCAAACAACCAGCCACCCAGGUAGAACCGAUCUAAAAGCAAGGCCCUGGAGCUUUUUUCUCUACCUCUCUCUCUU
Molecule: long non-coding RNA, 1240 nt
Organism: Eufriesea mexicana
Lineage: Eukaryota; Metazoa; Arthropoda; Insecta; Hymenoptera; Apidae
Exons: 5
Source: RefSeq, a predicted model, not a curated record